RNAcentral lists this ribosomal RNA (301 nucleotides) under uncultured bacterium. RNAcentral's name for it is "partial 16S ribosomal RNA". It matches the Rfam family "Bacterial small subunit ribosomal RNA", at positions 509 to 809 of the family's 1533-position model. The record is from RNAcentral.
CAGUCGCCGCGGGAAAACGAAGGGGGCUAGCGUUGUUCGGAUUUACUGGGCGUAAAGCGCACGUAGGCGGAUCGAUCAGUCAGGGGUGAAAUCCCAGAGCUCAACUCUGGAACUGCCUUUGAUACUGUCGAUCUGGAGUAUGGAAGAGGUGAGUGGAAUUCCGAGUGUAGAGGUGAAAUUCGUAGAUAUUCGGAGGAACACCAGUGGCGAAGGCGGCUCACUGGUCCAUUACUGACGCUGAGGUGCGAAAGCGUGGGGAGCAAACAGGAUUAGAUACCCGGGUAGUCCCUGUCUCUUAUAA